CCUACGGGAGGCAGCAGUGAGGAAUAUUGGUCAAUGGGCUUACGCCUGAACCAGCCAAGUCGCGUGAGGGAAGACUGCCCUAUGGGUUGUAAACCUCUUUUGUCAGGGAGCAACGCCGGCUACGUGUAGCCGGACUGAGAGUACCUGAAGAAAAAGCAUCGGCUAACUCCGUGCCAGCAGCCGCGGUAAUACGGAGGAUGCGAGCGUUAAUCGGAAUCACUGGGCGUAAAGCGCGCGUAGGCGGCUUUUCAAGUCAGGGGUGAAAUCCCACGGCCCAACCGUGGAACUGCCUUUGAAACUGUAGAGCUUGAGUGUCGGAGAGGGUGGCGGAAUUCCAGGUGUAGGAGUGAAAUCCGUAGAUAUCUGGAGGAACACCGGUGGCGAAGGCGGCCACCUGGACGACAACUGACGCUGAGGUGCGAAAGCGUGGGUAGCAAACAGGAUUAGAUACCCUGGUAGUC
RNAcentral lists this ribosomal RNA (461 nucleotides) under uncultured bacterium. Its description in RNAcentral is "partial 16S ribosomal RNA". It matches the Rfam family "Bacterial small subunit ribosomal RNA", at positions 338 to 795 of the family's 1533-position model. The record is from RNAcentral.